Passer montanus (Eurasian tree sparrow) is the source of this 3969-nucleotide long non-coding RNA. RefSeq lists it as uncharacterized. The transcript has 4 exons. Lineage: Eukaryota; Metazoa; Chordata; Aves; Passeriformes; Passeridae. The record is from RefSeq and is a predicted model, not a curated record.
ACAGAGAGGAGCAGCUCUGAUUUCCUGCUGGGAUGCCCAGGAUGCAGCUGAUCCUGGGCUCUGCCCUGCCUGCCUCAGCACCCCCUGCCCUGCUGCCCCUCUGGGCACCAUGCCCUGCAACUCCACACCUGCCCAAAACGCUUCUGCCCCUCAGGUAGCUCUGAAUUUGUCCAGAAAGGACAAGGAAAGGCUGAUUCCAUGUUUAACUAGUUCAGAAUUUGUUUUAAAAAGGACAAGAAAAUUCAGAUUUCAUGUUUAGGUAGCUCAGAAUUUGUUUUAAAAGGACAAGGAAAGGCAGAUUUCAUGUUUGGGUAGCUCAGAAUUUGUCCAGAAAGGACAAGGAAAGGCAGAUUUCAUGUUUAGAUAGCUCAGAAAUUGUUUUAAAAGGACAAGGAAAGGCAGAUUUCAUGUUUAGGUAGCUCAGAAAUUGUUUUAAAAGGACAAGGAAAGGCAGAUUUCAUGUUUGGGUAGCUCAGAAUUUGUCCAGAAAGGACAAGGAAAGGCAGAUUUCAUGUUUUAGACUGGUUAAGUUGAGCUGGCUGUGGGCCCAGGCUUCACCUGGGACUGAGCCAGAGCUUGUGCUGAUUCCAAAGGUUUUCCCAACAGCCCUGACCCCCUUGGAAAAUGCUGCUUUGGAAAAUCCUCCUUGUGCAGGGCCACAGGCAGGAAUGGGAGGACACAAAUCUUCAUUUUUAAGUGGCUUUGCAGCUGUGAAGUCCAGGAAAAAAUCCUACUGAAGCUUACAUUAAAUUCCCAAAAAAAAUCUGUUUAAAAAGGCUUGACCUUGUCACCCAACAGGCUUUUAUUGGCACAGAUCUGAGGACAGGUUAAUUAACCUCUGAAAGGUUAAUUUUGGGGGUUAUCAGGCUGCAAAAUCCACAGGCAAAGGUUUUUUGCAGUCCUUGAAUCCUUCCCAUGUUAUGUGUGGAGUUGGAGUCAGCACUGAGUCGAGAUAUUCUCAUUAAAUCAAUGGAUAUCACAUAAUAUUGAGUUUAAUUAAGUAAUACAUGAGGAGCUGAGUCUAAAAGCAGACCUGCACUUCAUUGGCAUUCAGAUUUCGGUUUAAAAAAAAAAAAGUUUCCUCCAAGCCAAUAAAAAUUUUAGUUGAAUUUAGAAUAAAUACUUUCAAGUUAGUAUUUACAUACUCAAUACCAAGAUCUGGGGGUCAGAAUUUGUGGGGAAUUCAUUUUUACAUCCCCCACCCUUGUCUUUUUAAAAAUCCUGGUCAUCAAAGCAGUAUUUUUUUAAAAAAGGUGGAUAAACAGCAGUUUGUGUGCUGCAAAAGCUGAAAUAUCUGAUUCAAUGUAAGGGGCUAAACGGGUUUAGUUCCUGCAGAAUCACUCAAAACCUCAAGUGCGACAGGUAAUGAUUAGGGCUGAUCAAAAAUUUGUCAAAUAUAGUCAAAAUUUCAGGUGUUCAAAGAGGGGAAUACCAAAACUGGACUCAGAGUCUGUGAUGGAAGAGUUUUCUGCCAGAAUACAUCAGGCAAAAGUAUGGGAUCAAGUUUAAAACACAGGGAAUCUGUGGAUUAUCAAAGCAAAAAGUGGUUUUUCCUUAAAUAACUCCCAUUUUAUCAUGUUCAGGAGUGCACAGAUACCUGUGUCAACAUUUCCUCUGUUUGCUUUAAACUUGGAUCUGGUCUGGACUGGGAUAAAACCAAGAGCCAGCUGGUUCCUUUCUGGUUUUCCUUCUGCUCCUGGUGGGGUUUGUGGCACAUCCUUUUAAAUCCUGCUUUUCCAGCACUGGUCUGAAAUGUGAAUCCCAGGGCUGCUCCCAGCUGGUGGCUGCAGCAGAAUUUUAAUGGGAUUUUUGGGAACUUUUGGGUUUUUUUUUAACCAAAAUCUGAAUGCCAGUUUAGUGCAGGUCUGGUUUUAGGUUUAUUUCCUCAUGUGCUCCUUGAGUAACCUCAGUAUUUGUGUGCUGCUCAUUUAUUUAAUUUAUUUAAAUAAAUUUAACCCCUGUCAGUGGGCACGGGGCAGGGGUUUCACUGCAUUUCAUCCAGGGGAUUCCUGAGCUCCACAGCUGGGCAAACCAGGAGCACCUGAUCCUGCUUUUGGGUGAGCAGGGACAUCCUUCUCCCGUCCCAAAUGCCACGUGCAGCCAGGCUGGCAGGGACUUUGGGACACUGGGAAUUCCCAGGUGUUUCCCACACUGGGAUGUUUCCCAGGCUGGGCUCUCUGUGUUGGGAAUUCUCCAGGAGCACAGAGGUGAAAGCUGAGCAAGUCAGUGCUGAUAUUUAAAUCAAUAAAUAAAAUAUAUUCUCCUCCUAGUGCCACCUGUGCUGGGAGUGAGCCCCAAAAGGGGCAUCGGGCAGUGCAAAGGAGCCUGCCCUCAUUUCCAGCUGUCCCAGUUCCCACUCCCUGCAGAAUUCCAGCCUGCUUUGGGCUGGAAAGGGCCAUCCAGCUCCUCCCCCUGUCCCAGUGCUCCCAGCCCCAUCCAGCCUGGCCUUGGGCACUGCCCCAGCUGCUCUGUGCCCCCUGUGCCAGGGCUGCCCCUGGCUCUGCAGAAAUGCACAUUUCAGCUCCAUUCUGGGGAGCUGUCCUCACCCCUGGAGCUGCUCCCUGGCUGCCCAGCCUGCUCUGCAGAAAUGCACAUUUCAGCUCCAUUCUGGGGAGCCCCUGGAGCUGCUCCCUGCAGGUCACACCCAGGUGUUCCCACUCCUCCUAAACUCUGAAUAAAAUCACCUUUAACUCCUCUCAGACCCCCCAUUAUCCUGAAUUUUCCCCACACUGGAAGGCAGAAGCUCCUGGAUCAAUUCCAAAGUGAACUUUUCCUCUCAGAUGAGAUUCCUUGCUCCAUGUUUUCCAAGAGGGCAAGGAGUGCUUUUUUAAAUCAGUCAGGCUGGAAGCAAAUUGGACUUUAAUUGUCUGCUCCACUGAAGGCUUUUAAUGGUGAUACUUUUUAAAAUAGAUGUGUUUGUAAUUUAUUUUGGGAUUUUCUAGGAUCGUAAAGCUGGCACAGGCUGGGGCAGUGAAUAUUCCUUUAAAGCAGAUUUGUGUCAAAUCUGCAGUGGAACCACAGAGUUAUUUUUGUAUGCCUUGUAAACUCUGAAUUUUUGUUUUCUUGAUGAAAAAAAAAGUAAACUUUGUAUUUCCUACUGCUGUGGUUUGUACACAGAAUAACCAGAGUGAUGCUUUAUUUACCUGUAUAUAGCGAGAAAGGCCCCUGGCCUGUUUUUAAUUCAGGUUUAAAGGAUCUAAUUCUUAUUUUUAACUUUGUAUUUUUUAAAUUGUUCCUUAUAAAAGCAGAAGCAUUAAACACCACUUUGGCUACAGCAUGGAAUUGUCUGGUUGUGUUAUUCCAUGAAUGAUUUCUGAGGAAUAAAGGUCCACUUGGCAUCUUGACUGCCAAAAAAAGAUGGAAAAUCAAAAUAUUGGUGAUGACCAAAGGAGUAUAAACUCAACAACACAACACUGAUAAACUCCUCUGCAAACUGCUCAAAGUUCACAAAUCAAACCUUAUUUGCAUACAAAAAACACAUCAAGAGAGCAUGGAGGGCCAGAUUCUGUUCUCUUGAAGGUCUGCGGGCAGCACUUGCCCAUCCCUGCUGCUGCUGCUGUGGCCAGGGCUGGGCAGAGCUGCCUGCCCCAGAUCCACUCCUGCCUGGGAAGGUGUGGGACACCAGUGAGAAAAUUAUGGAGCACCUUGACAGCUGGCCUGCACGCAAAGCUGAGUUAACAGAAGAAAUAACAAUUUGAUGGUUUUCGAGUGUGUCCAUAGCAAGGAAGAAGACAAGGCCGUCAGCAUGGAAAUGGAUUAGAAAAGAUACAUGGACAUUUUUGUGAGCCAGGCUACGUGCAUAAGUAGAUGUGUAUUCGUGCCGUAUUAAAUUUCUGUAAAACUUUUGCCAAUUAUAUUGACGUUAAUUGCUCUGCACCAAUGAAUAUAAUAAGUUAUUGUGAUGUAAUUAAUGACUUAAGAUCACGCUUUGUUAAGAGUAUAUAAGCUGGAGAACACACAGAAUAAAAA